Molecule: ribosomal RNA, 253 nt
Filed under: uncultured bacterium
Lineage: Bacteria
Description: partial 16S ribosomal RNA
Rfam family: Bacterial small subunit ribosomal RNA
Source: RNAcentral
GACGAGGGAUCCUAGCGUUGUUCGGAAUCAUUGGGCGUAAAGCGGGUGUAGGUGGCUUUGUAAGUCAGGUGUGAAAGCCCAGGGCUCAACCCUGGAAGUGCAUUUGAUACUGCGAAGCUUGAGUGCUGGAGAGGUAAGUAGAAUUCCUGGUGUAGUGGUGAAAUACGUAGAUAUCAGGAGGAAUACCGGAGGCGAAGGCGGCUUACCAGCCAGACACUGACACUCAGACCCGAAAGUAUGGGGAUCAAACAGG